CCCCAUUUUUCAGGUGAGAAAUCUGAGGCACAGAAAGAUUAAGUAACCUGUCUGAGGUUGCAGGGCCGAUAAACGGCAGAACUAGGAUUU
RNAcentral lists this microRNA precursor (90 nucleotides) under Chlorocebus sabaeus (green monkey). RNAcentral describes it as "miRNA (ENSCSAG00000023448.1)". Lineage: Eukaryota; Metazoa; Chordata; Mammalia; Primates; Cercopithecidae. The record is from RNAcentral.